Zingiber officinale is the source of this 560-nucleotide long non-coding RNA. RefSeq lists it as uncharacterized. The record is from RefSeq and is a predicted model, not a curated record. Lineage: Eukaryota; Viridiplantae; Streptophyta; Magnoliopsida; Zingiberales; Zingiberaceae. The transcript has 3 exons.
UGCAAUGUCGAUCCUCUUCUCGAGCUCCCUCCCUCUCGCGAACCUGCUCCCCAAAAGCCACCGACUACCAGCUCUGCCGAGUCCUCAUUCCUGUGCCCUAAGCCCAAUGCCGCCACCAUCCCUCUGCCUCUCGCAACCUUGUUGUGCCACCCAUCGCCGCUGUGCACAAGCACCAGCCGACGAUCUCUCCCGCGGAUGAGCACCCCCGGACGCCGCCGGCCUCCCCUCCUUCUCACGCGGCCACCACAGCCAUGGCCUCGCUCCCUCACGCGGGUGCCAGUCGUCGAGCACAAUAGCCGCCAGUGAUCUCCUCCUCACGCGAGCACCCUAUCCACCGAGCCACCGUAGACGCCGGCUCCUCUCUUCCUCGCACUCGACGCCGCCGACCUUCCUCCCUUUCCCUCUCUUGGCGUUGUGCCAUAGCAGUAAUUUCGGUGGAUUCGGUGUUGAUGGAAUUGCUGGUUUCCAUGAAUUGGUUGUGAAGCAGUGGACGGAAUUUGGAGGACAUUGAUUGAAGACGGUUGACACGAUCUGCAUAUAAAGGAGGGUACUUCUUGCUU